UUUUAUUUUAUUUUUUAAAGUCAUUGCAGAUGUAAGUAAGUUAAAGAUGUCGAGAUGAGGUCAUCAUUCUGAGUUAAAUGAGUGGGUCCUAAACGAGAGGUGUCCUUACAAGAGGAAGGCAGAGGAAGGGCACACAGAAGAGGAAUAUUAUGCAGCAAUCAAAAAUGAUGAGUUCGUGUCCUUUGUAGGGACAUGGAUGAAUCUGGAGAACAUCAUUCUCAGCAAACUGACACAAGAACAGAAAAUGAAAUACCGCAUAUUCUCACUCAUAGAUGUCUGCGAACUACCACCAUCACGUCUGGAAAAAAGCGACUUCACACUAAUACAGCAGAGGAAAACCAUAGGUUGGCCAAAAACGGAACAGAAUUUACAAGGGAAAACGAAGGUUCCUGGAGUGAUAUGUGUAGGUUAGAUGAGAAUGGAGCUGGUGAAUGAGCAGAAGAGAAGGUUGGAAGGUUGGAAGAGUCCCAGCGGAAGGAGCCCCAGUAAGUAAAUCAAAUCAACACCACACCUCCUGUUCCUUUGUCCUUUCAUAUACAGCU
RNAcentral lists this long non-coding RNA (542 nucleotides) under Callithrix jacchus (white-tufted-ear marmoset). Its description in RNAcentral is "lncRNA (ENSCJAG00000075860.1)". Lineage: Eukaryota; Metazoa; Chordata; Mammalia; Primates; Cebidae. The record is from RNAcentral.